GACGAAGGUGGCUAGCGUUGUUCGGUGUCACUGGGCUUAAAGAGUAUGUAGGCGGAAAAGUAAGCGUUUUGUGAAAUCCCUCGGCUUAACCGAGGAAUUGCUUAGCGAACUACUUUUCUUGAGGCAAGUAGGGGUGCAUGGAACUCUUGGUGGAGCGGUGGAAUGCGUAGAUAUCAAGAGGAACGCCAAUGGAGAAAUCAGUGCACUGGGCUUGUCCUGACGCUGAGAUACGAAAGCGUGGGGAGCGAACGGGAUUAGAUACCCGCGUA
This 269-nucleotide ribosomal RNA is filed under the name uncultured prokaryote. Its description in RNAcentral is "partial 16S ribosomal RNA". It matches the Rfam family "Bacterial small subunit ribosomal RNA", at positions 524 to 792 of the family's 1533-position model. The record is from RNAcentral.